Molecule: ribosomal RNA, 399 nt
Filed under: Eudiaptomus graciloides
Lineage: Eukaryota; Metazoa; Arthropoda; Copepoda; Calanoida; Diaptomidae
Description: partial small subunit ribosomal RNA
Rfam family: Eukaryotic small subunit ribosomal RNA
Source: RNAcentral
GCUUGUCUCAAAGAUUAAGCCAUGCAUGUCUAAGUACAAGCCUCAGUAAGGUGAAACCGCGAAUGGCUCAUUAAAUCACACCUAAUCUACUGGAAAGUUACUAGUUACUUGGAUAACUGAGGUAAUUCUUGAGCUAAUACAUGCGAAAAAUCUCGACUCACGGAGAGAUGCUUUUAUUAGAUCAAAACCAAACGGCUUCGGCCGUCUCAUUGGUGAUUCAUAAUAACUUCUCGAAUCGCAUGGCCUUGCGCCGGCGAUGCUUCAUUCAAAUAUCUGCCCUAUCAACUUUCGAUGGUAGGAUAGGGGCCUACCAUGGUAUCAACGGGUAACGGGGAAUUAGGGUUCGAUUCCGGAGAGGGAGCCUGAGAAACGGCUACCACAUCCAAGGAAGGCAGCAGG